AAAGUUCAUGUUGGACUCAUAAUAUCCACAAUUUUCGAAUUUUUCGAUUUAGAUGAUUAAUGCUUUGAUUGUUCCCUACUAAUAUGUGCAUCUGCAAUCCCUUAGUUAUCUAUUUAUUCAAUCUCUUGCGUUUGCUGACAUUUUCCACAGCAUACUUUUGACGAUUCAAUCCCCUGAUAGAUAAAUCGAUCGAUCGAUCAUUGCAAUUGGAAGGCAGAAGAGGAACGAAUCACCCCCGAUUUCAGAUAUGUAUUUCCUGAGUAUCGUUGCGUCGGGAGCUCCUGUUCUUCUGUGCCACUUUGCUUGUUUAGUUUAAUUCGUGACGCGAGGCAGUGCAGCAAAUAAAUCACAACAACGGCACGGCGGUGAUAAAAAAUCGCUUUUCACGUGAGAGUAAAAGCUCCGGAUUCGAAUGCUGCGCUGCCGACGGCGACAGUGACGUUGAUGGUGCUGUUACAAUGCCGCUGGCGGCGCUGUUGGCGAUUUGAAUAUGUUAUGAUGUUGAUGUUGCAUGUUGGCCCGCGUCGCCAACUGGUUUUAUUUUUAUUCUCUAUUUCUAUUGCGUCUACUUCCGAGUUCAAUGCAAGCGACGUCGGCUGAGGCGGCAGCUGCGACAGCAGUAGAGACGUCGGCAGCGACGUUGCGCAACCGCCCACACGCGCUGCGCCUGCCGCUGCCGUUAGCUUUUCUAAAUGUGUAUGCGUGUGUUUUGGCGAGGCUGCGUCGUGCAAAUAUUUUGCCAGCAUUCGCUAUUCACACAUACAUGUAUGUUGGUGGCCCAGAGGCUGCGCCACCCCCUGAGGACAACACCCACCCACAAAAACACCACUGAACUGAACGGAACUGAACCGAACGAGCCACCCCCACCAAACGUGUCCCAUUGAAAGCUAGCCGGCACUCACUCACUGGCAAACAACACACAUGUUGCUUCGGUUUAGAUUUAGACGAGUUUUGAAUGCUGAAUAAAUGGCCCGAGUUGCAGAAGCAGCAGAUGAAAGCAGAAGGGGGUUGGGGAGGAGGACUUUUCAGCAGCAGCACCACCACCAUUAUACUGCUACUGCUGCAACAUCCACGGCAGCAACAUCGGCAGCCCCGCUACAACAAUAGCGAUCGUGUUGCAAAAACAGGUGUCCGCUUUGCAUAGUCUUGCCUUCCAGUUGAAUAUUUGGCAUUCAUAGUUGGGAAAAGACUGAAUAUGGUCAACUGGAAAGUUAUCAACAGGGCUCAGUUAUAGUCCUCAUCAGAUAAUGAUAUCAUUUGUAUUUAAAAGCCUUAAAAUGAUAAGAUGACAUAAGGUAGCAUUUGAAAGUUCAAAUUGUAUAUCAACUUAUUGAAGAUAAUUGCAAGAUAUUUGUUAUUAAGUCCCAAUAUUUUAAUAUUAAGCUAAAAACAUCCAGAGCCAUAACUCAAGCUAAAUUACUUAUGUAUAAAUAGCCUAAGGUAUUUUCCAGAUUUGGCAAUAUAUUGUGUACAAUAAGCUAAUUACUCUGAUUAAAAGGGUGUUAUUUAGAUAGCACAUCAACAUUUUUUCCUAUGGGGAAAUUAAUAAUAUAUAUUUUUUGUAUUUUAACCUUCCGUAACUGGCAACGCAAUGUUCCUGUAAUCUGAAUUUAAAGGGAAUUACAUGAUUUGUUUCCUAACCUGUAUCCUUACGAAGUUUAUUACCUAAUUACUGCUUGCAUCACUCAGAAUCGCACAUGGGGCAUAUGGGUACUGCGUGCUACUCAUUCCUUACUAUAAAGCAGAAUAAAAGCAAUCAGAAGAAGCGAGCGACGCUCAGUAAUCGAAUCAAUUCAACGCCAAUUAUACAAUCUGUCAACAGGAGCAGGAGAAAAAGAGGAGCAACCUGCAGCCACGAACUCCCCGAACCGACGACCCUGACCGAUAGCAUCGGGUGCAACCUGCUGAUAAGAAACCAUUCGAACAGGAAGCGGUCGCCGCCGUUGUGCAAGGAACAAUAAUCAACGGCAGCGCCAACACACAACUCAUCUUCACUGAAAGAAACGGAGAAACGCGAAAGUAUGCCAUUUGGUUAAAUACCGAAGGCUUCUUUAUUAAAUACUUAGGCAGGUGUAAGUUGGUGUUCUUUAAGUAACAUCAUCCAUACCUAGGCAGCAUUUCAGAUGCAUAGAUCCCAGAUAGAUUCCCGAUCAACGAAACUAAAAAAAUCCGCUUAAUGUUAUUGCUAUUUGCAAUUUCGAGUAGGUUUCAGGUGGCAAUUAAGAAGUAGCUUGUAAAAUAAUUUAAUCACUUUUUUAACUAUAAGAGAUCAGAUACUCUACAGUAUUUUUAUAUAAGUCCGGUCCUAAGCUGUAUAAAAGGAUUUUCUGAAGAAUAUCCAAUCAACACUAAAAAUAUAGAAGGGUACGUCUUUUCUCCCACAGUGUCCAGACAAAGAAUUGCAUUAAGUACAUAGACAACACGCUCCUUACCGAUUCUGCACUUGUUCGCUCUGCCGCGAACCUAUCGUCAUCGGUCUAUCCGAUCCGAUCCAUUCAUUUCCGCUUUAGGCCGGAGUUGGUUGUUGCUUCGGGGCAGCAACAAUAACAACAGCAACUCUGCCACAAAGGCGACCAUUCGGAACCGCCGAGCGAGAAACUAUUGCACCUGAUUGCCUUGAAAAGCGAGCAAGCCCAAAGUGGCAGCAAUAAACAAAAGCGAUCCGUUCGCGGCGAAUUCGACAUAUAGCUUUGCGGAUCGCUUCGCCGCAAAACAAAAGGAAAGAGAAUUCUCAUUCACUUCCUGCUCUCUUCCUCUUGCAAAAACUACGAAAAGUUAAAACCCAGCUGACGACGACGACGACAAGUUUUCAAACUGAAACGUACGAAACUCAAUUGUUGUUGCUGCUGCUGGCUGGAAAUUGCAGAGAAAUUCCUUUGGCUUAAUUAGCCUCUUUCGUUCGAGGCGAAAAUAUUUUCAAAUGAGAAACGUACAUACAGGCCGCCAAGAAAGCGGCACAACAACGACAACACAAGCAACAACAACAGCAGGAAUAGCAGAAAAAAGAGUGUGGAACGUCAGGCUAAAGCAAAAACAACUCUGAGCUCAGAGUACAAAUGAAACCAGUUUAGUUCAUUUCGUUUCGUUUCGUUCAUUAAUUCAAAAUUUCCAUUUGAAACUUUUUUCCCUCUUCUGUUGCUGCUUCUUUUUUCUCUGCUUUAUUUUGUGUGUGCGCUCUGCUCUUCUGUUGUUGUGCUGUCGUUGCUCAUCCCCGAUUCCCAACCGCCCGCUCCCCUCUUCAACAUCCAUUCCACCCGAUGCCACCCCACCAUUCACCCCGCAGCCCAACGUCAUCGUCAUAAUCAGAGUUUUAACAUUUUAUGUACAGUGAGCACAGGCGGCUCUCGUACUCACUGUAUUUAUACACUCCCCCACACACUGACGCCUCAUACAUAGCGUAAGAAAAAGAGAGAGAGGGCUGCAGAGCAAAGCUCGUUUUCGUUGCGACGACGAAGUUCGUUCGUUCGGUGUUUCGUUCGUUCUCUCCCACAAUCGCAAUGCUCCACCGCUCCACCGACCGCCAGCUAUAUACACAUAACCUACAAAAAUAUAUAGCCUGCGCUAUAUAUGCGCUGGCUGCUCGGCGAUAUUUGUGCGGCGCAUCGUGUGCGCUGUCAGAGGCAAAUGGCUUGAUGGCCGUACAGUCGAUGGCAUGGGGCCGUGGCGGGGGCGGACGUGGUGCAGGAACGGUGAGCGGGUAGCGGGACAUUGCAGGCUGGUUGGCAGACAGGCGGCAUAACAUCAGCAGAGGCAGCAGCAGCAGCAGCAGCUAAAGCAGCAACACAAGUGCACAGGGUUGCCAGGCGGUUGGCCAUACGAAACGGCAUUGAACCCUCGCAACGGGGUCCCAUAGAGCAUAUUGCGAGCAAUAUAACGAGUUCCUUGUAACCUUAGAUUAGCUAGGCUUAUAUUUUAAGUAAUACCAAUAAGUAAUAUGUUAAAAAACAAAUUGAAACUGCUAGGGCAGAUCUAAAAGGAUGCAUUUUAUGGUACUACAAAUUUAAGAUCAGAUUUUAUGUAGAUCUUUUUUCGAUCUCAACUUAUUUUCGAUCUCAACUUGCAUGCGUAUAAAAAAGGUCACAAAAUAAAAAAUAAAUAUUUAACUUA
This is a long non-coding RNA of Drosophila sechellia, 4107 nucleotides long. RefSeq lists it as uncharacterized. The transcript is spliced from 2 exons. The record is from RefSeq and is a predicted model, not a curated record. Lineage: Eukaryota; Metazoa; Arthropoda; Insecta; Diptera; Drosophilidae.